This 1376-nucleotide ribosomal RNA is filed under the name uncultured bacterium. RNAcentral's name for it is "bacterial SSU rRNA". It matches the Rfam family "Bacterial small subunit ribosomal RNA". The record is from RNAcentral.
GAGUUUGAUCAUGGCUCAGAGUGAACGCUGGCGGCGUGCCUAAUACAUGCAAGUCGAACGGAAUUUAAAAGAGCUUGCUCUUUUAAAUUUAGUGGCGCACGGGUGAGUAAUAUAUAGCUAAUCUGCCCCUUGCUGGAGGACAACAGUUAGAAAUGACUGCUAAUACUCCAUACUCCUUUUUACCAUAAGAUAAAUCGGGAAAGAAUUUCGGCAAGGGAUGAGACUAUAUCGUAUCAGCUAGUCGGUGGGGUAACGGCCUACCGAGGCUAUGACGCGUAACUGGUCUGAGAGGAUGAUCAGUCACAUUGGAACUGAGACACGGUCCAAACUCCUACGGGAGGCAGCAGUAGGGAAUAUUGCGCAAUGGGGGAAACCCUGACGCAGCAACGCCGCGUGGAGGAUGACACUUUUCGGAGCGUAAACUCCUUUUGUUAGGGAAGAAUAAUGACGGUACCUAACGAAUAAGCACCGGCUAACUCCGUGCCAGCAGCCGCGGUAAUACGGAGGGUGCAAGCGUUACUCGGAAUCACUGGGCGUAAAGGACGCGUAGGCGGAUUAUCAAGUCUCUUGUGAAAUCUAACGGCUUAACCGUUAAACUGCUUGGGAAACUGAUAAUCUAGAGUAAGGGAGAGGCAGAUGGAAUUCUUGGUGUAGGGGUAAAAUCCGUAGAUAUCAAGAAGAAUACCUAUUGCGAAGGCGAUCUGCUGGAACUUAACUGACGCUAAUGCGUGAAAGCGUGGGGAGCAAACAGGAUUAGAUACCCUGGUAGUCCACGCCCUAAGCGAUGUAUACCGGUUGUUGCUGUGCUAGUCACGGCAGUAAUCCACCUAACGGAUUAAGUAUACCGCCUGGGGAGUACGGUCGCAAGAUUAAAACUCAAAGGAAUAGACGGGGACCCGCACAAGCGGUGGAGCAUGUGGUUUAAUUCGAAGAUACGCGAAGAACCUUACCCGGACUUGAUAUCUAACAAAUCAUCCAGAGAUGGAAGAGUGUCUGCUUGCAGAAAUGUUAAGACAGGUGCUGCACGGCUGUCGUCAGCUCGUGUCGUGAGAUGUUGGGUUAAGUCCCGCAACGAGCGCAACCCACGUCAUUAGUUGCUAACGGUUCGGCCGAGCACUCUAAUGAGACUGCCUUCGUAAGGAGGAGGAAGGUGUGGACGACGUCAAGUCAUCAUGGCCCUUAUGUCCGGGGCGACACACGUGCUACAAUGGCAUAUACAAUAAGACGCAAUAUCGUAAGAUGGAGCAAAUCUAAAAAAUAUGUCCCAGUUCGGAUUGGAGUCUGCAACUCGACUCCAUGAAGCCGGAAUCGCUAGUAAUCGUAGAUCAGCCAUGCUACGGUGAAUACGUUCCCGGGUCUUGCACACACCGCCCGUC